Molecule: ribosomal RNA, 467 nt
Filed under: uncultured bacterium
Lineage: Bacteria
Description: partial 16S ribosomal RNA
Rfam family: Bacterial small subunit ribosomal RNA
Source: RNAcentral
ACGAACGCUGGCGGCGUGCUUAACACAUGCAAGUCGAACGGAAAGGCCCUGCUUUUGUGGGGUGCUCGAGUGGCGAACGGGUGAGUAACACGUGAGUAACCUGCCCUUGACUUUGGGAUAACUUCAUGAAACUGGGGCUAAUACCGGAUAGGAGCUCCUGCUGCAUGGUGGGGGUUGGAAAGUUUCGGCGGUUGGGGAUGGACUCGCAGCUUAUCAGCUUGUUGGUGGGGUAGUGGCUUACCAAGGCUUUGACGGGUAGCCGGCCUGAGAGGGUGACCGGCCACAUUGGGACUGAGAUACGGCCCAGACUCCUACGGGAGGCAGCAGUGGGGAAUAUUGCACAAUGGGCGGAAGCCUGAUGCAGCAACGCCGCGUGCGGGAUGACGGCCUUCGGGUUGUAAACCGCUUUCGCCUGUGACGAAGCGUGAGUGACGGUAAUGGGUAAAGAAGCACCGGCUAACUACGUG